AAGUGGAGCAAUCCAUGAGUAAAGUGGCGACCGGGUGAGUAACACGUGACUAACCUACCUUCGAGUGGGGGAUAACAUCGGGAAACCGAUGCUAAUACCGCAUAACAUCGCAAGAUCAAAGCAGCAAUGCGCUUAAAGAGGGGGUCGCGGCUGAUUAGCUAGUUGGCGGGGUAACGGCCCACCAAGGCGAAGAUCGGUAUCCGGCCUGAGAGGGCGCACGGACACACUGGAACUGAAACACGGUCCAGACUCCUACGGGAGGCAGCAGUGGGGAAUUUUGCGCAAUGGGGGAAACCCUGACGCAGCAACGCCGCGUGGAGGAUGAAGUCCCUUGGG
Molecule: ribosomal RNA, 336 nt
Filed under: uncultured bacterium
Lineage: Bacteria
Description: bacterial SSU rRNA
Rfam family: Bacterial small subunit ribosomal RNA
Source: RNAcentral